RNAcentral lists this ribosomal RNA (448 nucleotides) under uncultured Cellulomonas sp. RNAcentral's name for it is "bacterial SSU rRNA". It matches the Rfam family "Bacterial small subunit ribosomal RNA", at positions 940 to 1382 of the family's 1533-position model. The record is from RNAcentral. Lineage: Bacteria; Bacillati; Actinomycetota; Actinomycetes; Micrococcales; Cellulomonadaceae.
UGUGGUUUAAUUCGACGCAACGCGCAGAACCUUACCUGGUCUUGACAUCCCGGGAAUCUUUCUGAAAGGAGAGAGUGCCUCGCAAGAGGAGCCUGGUGACAGGUGGUGCAUGGUUGUCGUCAGCUCGUGUCGUGAGAUGUUGGGUUAAGUCCCGCAACGAGCGCAACCCUCGUCCUAUGUUGCCAGCGGGUCAUGCCGGGGACUCAUGGGAGACUGCCGGGGUCAACUCGGAGGAAGUGGGGAUGACGUCAAAUCAUCAUGCCCCUUAUGUCUUGGGCUUCACGCAUGCUACAAUGGCCGGUACAAAGGGCUGCGAUACCGGCGAGGUGGAGCGAAUCCCAGAAAGCCGGUCUCAGUUCGGAUUGGGGUCUGCAACUCGACCCCAUGAAGUCGGAGUCGCUAGUAAUCGCAGAUCAGCAACGCUGCGGUGAAUACGUUCCCGGGCCUU